Molecule: unclassified non-coding RNA, 337 nt
Filed under: Hevea brasiliensis (rubber tree)
Lineage: Eukaryota; Viridiplantae; Streptophyta; Magnoliopsida; Malpighiales; Euphorbiaceae
Source: RNAcentral
GAUAUUGAGAUUGAAAAGCUCAAGUCUGAAAUUAUUGCUUUGGCUAGACAAGUAGAUUUGUCUGAGUUGGAAUUGCAAACUCUUCGAAAGCAAAUUGUAAAAGAGAGAAAAAGGGGGCAGGAUCUCUCCAGAGAAGUCACAGGCUUGAAAGAGGAGAGAGAUGUUCUCAAGGCAGAAUGUGAGAAACUCAAAGCCUUUCAUAAACGUAUAGAGGAGGCAAAAAACAAAGACAAGUUGCAGUUUGAGAGCGGAGAUGCACGAGUCUUUCUUGAAGAAAUCAGACAAGAAUUAAAUUAUGAAAAGGACAUGAAUGCCAAUCUUCGAUUACAACUGCAGA